GAGCAAUGAGGAUAAAAAUUCCAUCGUGAUGCACCCUGACGACGUUAUACGCUAUUCUGAGCUGCAA
Molecule: small nucleolar RNA, 67 nt
Filed under: Scophthalmus maximus (turbot)
Lineage: Eukaryota; Metazoa; Chordata; Actinopteri; Pleuronectiformes; Scophthalmidae
Description: Small nucleolar RNA U54 (ENSSMAG00000001476.2)
Rfam family: Small nucleolar RNA U54
Source: Rfam by way of RNAcentral